This is a long non-coding RNA of Haliotis rufescens (red abalone), 1121 nucleotides long. RefSeq lists it as uncharacterized. The record is from RefSeq and is a predicted model, not a curated record. NCBI's taxonomy places the organism in Eukaryota, Metazoa, Mollusca, Gastropoda, Lepetellida, Haliotidae. The transcript has 2 exons.
AUGAAUUCGAUUACCUUCAACGAGGAAUACACCUGCUUUGAUCUGUUUCUCAAGCAAUCAAAGACUGAUCAGCUAGGGAAAGGUGUGACAAUUACUGUACAUGCAGUGCCCGGACCAACUUGCCCCGUUCAGGCAAUGAAAAACUAUGUUAACCUGCGCAAUCAGUCUCAGGCACGUGCCUCGGACCCAUUGUUCCUCACCAUUUUAUUCAUAAACUACAUCAAACUCUGGUGGCAGCAGGAUACGGCUACAAGAAAUUCAACGGACAUUCUUUUAGAAUCGGAGCGGCCACUGCUGCAGCUGCAGCUCAUGUACCAGACCAUAUGAUACAAGCCUUAGGACGCUGGAAAUCAGACUGCUACGCUCGGUAUAUCAGAGUCGAUAAGGGCUCCAUAGCGGCAGCUCAGCGAAAUACUGCUCAUACUUAGCAUGCUCAGCAGCCCGUUUAUCCUUGGCUAUUACAUUGUGUAUAUACUCUUUGUAGCAGUUUCUAUGCAAAUUCUUUGCUUCAGUGAUAGUGCACUAAUCUUAUGGUUGACUCUUACUUUGUCUGACCUUGUCAAUCUUCCUGUGCAGCCUCUCAAUGGUGUAACUCCUUCAGAGUAAGCCUUGGCGUUAUAGUCCAAGUCCAAUGUCGUUCAGGCGUAAUAAUCCUAUAUGCCAUUACUAGGUAUUAUUUUCUUUAUGGGGUAUUCUCAGCCAGCUGUAUCAUGGUAUUUUAUUUUAUCCACAUCUGGCUCGAAUUGUGGCCUUACUAUCCUCCUCAAAUUGCUGGGAUAGUUCCCCCUAAAGUUCAAUAAUCCACAUCCAACUUGUAGGCUACUUGUAUGCUCAUUUAUUGCACCAUUUUGUACCGUUCUGUGUAGUCACUCGCUGUGCUCUGAGGCUCAGAACUAUAGCCAGCGUUUGAUCACAAUGCUUGGGCAUGACCGAUGCUCGAUCAUGUACACACUUAGUGCCAACGAUUUGGCCAUGUCAUGUUAUUAUUUGCAAAUGGCCAAAUCGUUUCCAAUGCUUGGCAUGAUUGAUGCUCAAUCAUGGGCACCCGUAAUCAAACCUGAGAAUUCCCCAUACGCCAAAUUUAUAAUUUUGUAUUUUAUCAUAAUAAAUGUUUGAAACUA